This 261-nucleotide ribosomal RNA is filed under the name Lacticaseibacillus paracasei. Its description in RNAcentral is "Lactobacillus paracasei partial 16S ribosomal RNA". It matches the Rfam family "Bacterial small subunit ribosomal RNA", at positions 1 to 232 of the family's 1533-position model. Lineage: Bacteria; Bacillati; Bacillota; Bacilli; Lactobacillales; Lactobacillaceae. The record is from RNAcentral.
UUUAUAUGAGAGUUUGAUCCUGGCUCAGGAUGAACGCUGGCGGCGUGCCUAAUACAUGCAAGUCGAACGAGUUCUCGUUGAUGAUCGGUGCUUGCACCGAGAUUCAACAUGGAACGAGUGGCGGACGGGUGAGUAACACGUGGGUAACCUGCCCUUAAGUGGGGGAUAACAUUUGGAAACAGAUGCUAAUACCGCAUAGAUCAAAGAACCGCAUGGUUCUUGGCUGAAAGAUGGCGUAAGCUAUCGCUUUUGGAUGGACCG